UCAGGAUCUUAAACUUUGAAUCCCAACCUGCUCUUCCUUGUCGUAACUAUCUUCAGGAUGGUCAGAUUAAUAUUGGCUGCUGGAUCAAUGCCCCUACAGUCAAUCUUUUCUCACCUUUUGUUGUGCAGCUGAAUUCUACUAAUAGAGACAAACCAAUAAUUCGGGAGUAUGAAAGAAUGCAAACGAUGGUCAAGUUGGACCCUCCAUAUAACCUGACAAUAAAGGCAACAAAUCACUCUGAGUUGCUUCUACAAUGGCAGUUUGACCAUGGACAUUUUCCUGUCCUCUGCAUUUGCUUCCAGGUGGAACAUCAGAAUAUGGCCAGCAAGGAGGGGAAGGUAAAGGAAGUUAGAUCAGCGCUAUUUUCUUUGCCCAGUUAUGAC
Long non-coding RNA from Bombina bombina (fire-bellied toad), 383 nucleotides. RefSeq lists it as uncharacterized. Lineage: Eukaryota; Metazoa; Chordata; Amphibia; Anura; Bombinatoridae. The transcript is spliced from 3 exons. The record is from RefSeq and is a predicted model, not a curated record.